GUCGAGAAUUUUGGGCAAUGGACGAAAGUCUGACCCAGCAAUGCCGCGUGCGGGAUGAAGGUCUUCGGAUUGUAAACCGCUGUCAAGAGGGACGAAACAUGACGGUACCUCUGGAGGAAGCCACGGCUAACUACGUGCCAGCAGCCGCGGUAAUACGUAGGUGGCGAGCGUUGUUCGGAUUUAUUGGGCGUAAAGGGUCCGCAGGUGGUUGGAUAAGUUUGACGUGAAAUCCCAGAGCUCAACUCUGGAACUGCGUUGAAAACUGUCUGACUGGAGUAUCGGAGAGGAGAUUGGAAUUCCAGGUGUAGCGGUGGAAUGCGUAGAUAUCUGGAAGAACACCGAAAGCGAAGGCAGAUCUCUGGACGAUAACUGACACUCAGGGACGAAAGUAUGGGGAUCAAACAGG
RNAcentral lists this ribosomal RNA (406 nucleotides) under uncultured rumen bacterium. RNAcentral's name for it is "bacterial SSU rRNA". It matches the Rfam family "Bacterial small subunit ribosomal RNA", at positions 354 to 776 of the family's 1533-position model. The record is from RNAcentral.